This 253-nucleotide ribosomal RNA is filed under the name uncultured bacterium. RNAcentral describes it as "partial 16S ribosomal RNA". It matches the Rfam family "Bacterial small subunit ribosomal RNA", at positions 524 to 776 of the family's 1533-position model. The record is from RNAcentral.
UACAGAGGGUGCGAGCGUUGUUCGGAAUUAUUGGGCGUAAAGGGCGCGUAGGCGGUGCGGUAAGUCACCUGUGAAAUCUCCUGGCUCAACUGGGAGCUUGCAGGCGAAACUGCCGUGCUGGAGUGUGGGAGAGGUGAGUGGAAUUCCCGGUGUAGCGGUGAAAUGCGUAGAUAUCUGGGGGAACACCCGUGGCGAAGGCGGCUCUCUGGGACGGUACUGACGCUGAGACGCGAAAGCGUGGGGAGCGAACAGG